Nasonia vitripennis (jewel wasp) is the source of this 2330-nucleotide long non-coding RNA. RefSeq lists it as uncharacterized. Lineage: Eukaryota; Metazoa; Arthropoda; Insecta; Hymenoptera; Pteromalidae. The record is from RefSeq and is a predicted model, not a curated record. The transcript is spliced from 7 exons.
AAAAUCAAGUAAAUAAAUAAUUUAACAGGUAUAUAUCGUUUGCGUAAAACGUACGCGUGCAGCACCCGGGGUCAUUUCUUAAUAAUUAUAGUUCUACAGAUUAUUUUUACCAUGCGUGCGUGACGCGUUUAAAUAGCCAGAAGGUAGUUUAACCUCAAAAUUUCAUUUCGGAGCAGCUUACCUCAGUGUGCAUUUACUACAUUGAAAAUGAUUAUAUUUUGGCAAAAUGAGUGCAGGGAGUUUGCAAAAUUAUGCCAAUCAACACCACACAUAAUUUUGCUAGUCAGACGUCUUUGUGAUCCAAAGGAAAGUCAAGUAUUUAUUGACAAAAUUUAUUGAAGCACUUAUCCUCAAGGCUAUACAGAUAAUCCAUUUAUAUUAAGAAAACAAAUAUCACAACAGUUUACAACUGGAGAUCAAUGGCUGUGGAAGCCUUACGUCUAUUACAUGGAAUGUAUCCUUGUUUUGAAGAUAAGAAAGUUACGUGUACUAAUUGUAGUAAUACAUUGAAACAAGCUGAUUUACAUCUGAUAAACAAAUUUGUAAGACAUGCGGUGAAAGAUUUGAAAGAAAAAUGAAUUUGAAUAAUCAUGUAGUAUGCCAUCAAGUGGACCGACAUCAUGCUUGCAGAACUUGUGGAAAUUUAUUUUGAUCAAAAGCAAAUUUGCUGGCUCAUAUAGCUGAGAUUCAUCAAAUUGAACGUUUUCACAACUGUUCAGUGUGUGAUGCAGAUUUUUAAAGACCAUCAAGUCUUUUUAAUCAUAUGAAAAAUUCAUAGUUAUGUUGCGGGAAGAGCAUUGAUGUAAGGAAAUAAUACAGCUACACAUAUUGAUACCUCAAGUACAAUUGUUCGUAAAAACCUAUAAUUUUUAAUAAAUUUGACCAAGAUAUGGUAUUUACUGUGUUACCAAAUGGUGAAGUAGCCGAGUUUGAAUAUACUAUACAAAUACUUUUAACAGUUAUGAUAUGAAAUUAGAAGCUGCUGGUUAUACCAAUGAUAAUAAAACUACUUGUGUUGAUGUAAACAUGCAAAAAAGUAGAGGACGUUCUUGUGCAUCCAAAAGACUCGUACCAAAAGUGAUUUGAGCUCUCCAGUAGAGUGCGAAUAUUGUGAUAAACAUGUCCAAGUUUCAACUUUCUUGGCUACGGCUAAUGCAAAAUGGGGCAAACAUGCUUGUUCAGAAUGUGGUCAAAAAUUUACUACCAAACAAAAAUUGCUUGGACAUCAAUGGAUUCAUGUAAAGAAAACACAUUAAUGUGAGAUUGUGGUUCAAACUUUGCGAAACAAUCUAAGCUAGAUGAACAUAGAUUGUCAGAACAUCCAUGGAAAAAGUUUUGUAUCUCGACAAGGGCUUUGGAGACAUGGUAGAACGCGUGCAGGAAGCUCAGCUUAUUUCCAAUGUGACACAUGUUCCAAGACUUUUUCAUCUCGUCAAGGGUAUUUAAUUCAUCAUUGCACACAUACAGGUGAACGACCAUACAGUUGAAAUAAAAAGGGCAUAUACAUAACAGAAAUUCACAAAGGUUCAGCUGAGACAAAAAGUGGCUUAACAAUACAUGACAAAAUAUGCUGAAUAUUUUAGUAGCUCACAAAGGAAUAACAAUAAUACCAAGAACUGAACAAACAACUUCAAGUAUAAUAAAGAGGAUUCCACGUCCCCUUGCAAAAUCUUGUCCAACAGAUAAAACUUUUAAAAAUUGUAAUGAAUACCAAAAAUGACAAUGAACACAGCGACUCGACACAUUCUUAUAAAUUGAGGUUGUUGCUGGAAUGUACUAGAUAUAUUAAAAAAACUAGUUUGUUAGAAAAACUAGAUUGUUAAGUUUAGAAAGAGAUUCAUUCUACAAACAAGAUUUAAAACUUGUGAAGAUCGAAGCUACUGGUAUAGAUGAUACUACUUUGCGAGUGAAGAUCUUUGAUCCUACGAAUAAAAGGUAUGAACCACCUUUCCCAGCAAGAUAGACCAUUUAUAAAGAAGACUUGUAGACAACUUUUUGAACUCAAGAUAAUGAAAAUGUUCCUGGUUUCAAAGUAAUGAGAUAAAGAGAUAAAAGAACUUUAUUUAAUUUUAUAGGAUUUGGUGGCUUCAUAUUUUCUGAUCAGUUCCUUCAAAUAAGCUGUGUAUUACCUUCUCAUAAUAUUUAAGGACUCUAAGAGCAUAUAGGACUAAUUUAAGAUUAAAAACUAAUUGGCAAAAAUUUGCUCUCUUUAAUUCUGAUCAGCCUCCUACAGAAAAUGACAAUCUUUAUGGAUCUCAUCCAUUUUACAUAGUAGUUGCGAGCACAGGAAAAGCACAUUGUGUUAUAUUUUUAAAUAGUAUCGUCAUGUG